RNAcentral lists this long non-coding RNA (230 nucleotides) under Elaeis guineensis (African oil palm). RNAcentral's name for it is "long non-coding RNA (EGUI_LNC055193)". The record is from RNAcentral. Lineage: Eukaryota; Viridiplantae; Streptophyta; Magnoliopsida; Arecales; Arecaceae.
GUCCGCCCAACGAGCCAUAAAUCUUUCUAUUGACUUCACCAAGUCAUGAAGAGGACUUAAAACAAGUUGGACUAGGAGCACCUAAAUCAGUCAUACUGAAUUUUUAGUUAGCAUAAGUCAAGCCCAAUCACUAAGUGAUCUAAACAAAACAUGAUUAAGAAUAUUGGCCAGGGUAAGUGAAAUCAAUGGGAGGGAUAUACCAUUAACUUGUCAUAGACUCAAUCUAUAUG